CUACGGGGGGCUGCAGUGAGGAAUAUUGCACAAUGGGGGAAACCCUGAUGCAGCAACGCCGCGUGGAGGAUGACGCAUUUCGGUGUGUAAACUCCUUUUAUAUGUCAAGAAAAUGACGGUAGCAUAUGAAUAAGCACCGGCUAACUCCGUGCCAGCAGCCGCGGUAAUACGGAGGGUGCAAGCGUUACUCGGAAUCACUGGGCGUAAAGGACGCGUAGGCUGGUUGGUAAGUCAGGUGUGAAAUCCUACAGCUUAACUGUAGAACUGCACUUGAAACUACCAACCUAGAGUAUGGGAGGGGGAGGUGGAAUUAGUGGUGUAGGGGUAAAAUCCGUAGAUAUCACUAGGAAUACCGAAAGCGAAGGCGAUCUCCUGGAACAUAACUGACGCUAAGGCGUGAAAGCGUGGGGAGCAAACAGGAUUAGAUACCCUAGUAGUC
This 439-nucleotide ribosomal RNA is filed under the name uncultured bacterium. RNAcentral's name for it is "partial 16S ribosomal RNA". It matches the Rfam family "Bacterial small subunit ribosomal RNA", at positions 339 to 795 of the family's 1533-position model. The record is from RNAcentral.